RNAcentral lists this unclassified non-coding RNA (217 nucleotides) under soil metagenome. RNAcentral describes it as "partial contains 5.8S ribosomal RNA, internal transcribed spacer 2, and large subunit ribosomal RNA". The record is from RNAcentral.
AACCAUUCUCACCUGCGGCUAGACCUGCGGAAGGAUCAUUACCGAGUUUACAACUCCCAAACCCAUGUGAACAUACCUAUCGUUGCUUCGGCGGGAUCGCCCCGGGCGCCUCGUGUGCCCCGGAUCCGGCGCCCGCCUAGGAACCUUAACUCUUGUUUUAUUUUGGAAUCUUCUGAGUAGUUUUUACAAAUAAAUAAAAACUUUUAGCAAUGGAUCU